This 406-nucleotide ribosomal RNA is filed under the name uncultured bacterium. Its description in RNAcentral is "partial 16S ribosomal RNA". It matches the Rfam family "Bacterial small subunit ribosomal RNA", at positions 30 to 526 of the family's 1533-position model. The record is from RNAcentral.
AUUGAACGCUGGCGGCAGGCCUAACACAUGCAAGUCGAACGAGUGGCGGACGGGUGAGUAAUGUCUGGGAAACUGCCUGAUGGAGGGGGAUAACUACUGGAAACGGUAGCUAAUACCGCAUACCAUCAGAUGUGCCCAGAUGGGAUUAGCUGGUUGGGGGGGUAACGGCUCACCACGGCGACGAUCCCUAGCUGGUCUGAGAGGAUGACCAGCCACACUGGACUUGAGACACGGUCCAGAUUCCUACGGGAGGCAGCAGUGGGGAAUAUUCGCCAAUGGGCGAAAGCCGGAUGCAGCCAUGCCGGGUGUAUGAAGAAGGCCUUCGGUUGGUAAAGUACUUUCAGCGGGGAGGCGUUACCCGCAGAAGAAGCACCGGCUAACUCCGUGCCAGCAGCCGCGGUAAUUC